Molecule: unclassified non-coding RNA, 137 nt
Filed under: uncultured Ascomycota
Lineage: Eukaryota; Fungi; Ascomycota
Description: sequence contains ITS1
Source: RNAcentral
CAUUCAGUAGCCUAGCUACUUGUUUAUACCCUUGUUUUUAGCGUACUAUUGUUUCCUCGGUGGGCUUGCCUGCCGGUUGGACAAAACUAUAACCUUUUUAAAUCUUCAAUCAGCGUCUGGAUUAUACAUAAUAAUUA